CGACCGCUGGCGGCGUGCUUACCACAUGCACGUCGACCGACGAGCGAUGGAAGCUUGCUUCUAUCAAUCUUAGUGGCGAACGGGUGAGUAACGCGUAAUCAACCUGCCCUUCAGAGGGGGACAACAGUUGGAAACGACUGCUAAUACCGCAUACGAUCUAAUCUCGGCAUCGAGGAUAGAUGAAAGGUGGCCUCUACAUGUAAGCUAUCACUGAAGGAGGGGAUUGCGUCUGAUUAGCUAGUUGGAGGGGUAACGGCCCACCAAGGCGAUGAUCAGUAGCCGGUCUGAGAGGAUGAACGGCCACAUUGGGACUGAGACACGGCCCAGACUCCUACGGGAGGCAGCAGUGGGGAAUCUUCCGCAAUGGACGAAAGUCUGACGGAGCAACGCCGCGUGAGUGAUGACGGCCUUCGGGUUGUAAAGCUCGGUUAAUCGGGACGAAAGGCCUUCUUGCGAAUAGUGAGAAGGAUUGACGGUACCGGAAUAGAAAGCCACGGCUAACUACGUG
RNAcentral lists this ribosomal RNA (508 nucleotides) under uncultured bacterium. RNAcentral's name for it is "partial 16S ribosomal RNA". It matches the Rfam family "Bacterial small subunit ribosomal RNA", at positions 30 to 507 of the family's 1533-position model. The record is from RNAcentral.